This 587-nucleotide ribosomal RNA is filed under the name uncultured bacterium. Its description in RNAcentral is "bacterial SSU rRNA". It matches the Rfam family "Bacterial small subunit ribosomal RNA", at positions 338 to 916 of the family's 1533-position model. The record is from RNAcentral.
CCUACGGGAGGCAGCAGUGGGGAAUUUUGGACAAUGGGGGCAACCCUGAUCCAGCCAUGCCGCGUGUGUGAAGAAGGCCUUCGGGUUGUAAAGCACUUUCGGCCGGAACGAAAUCGCGCGAUCUAAUAAGUCGCGUGGAUGACGGUACCGGAAGAAGAAGCACCGGCUAACUACGUGCCAGCAGCCGCGGUAAUACGUAGGGUGCGAGCGUUAAUCGGAAUUACUGGGCGUAAAGUGUGCGCAGGUGGCCGCGCAAGUCGAGUGUGAAAUCCCCGAGCUUAACUUGGGAAUUGCGCUCGAAACUACGUGGCUCGAGUGUAGCAGAGGAAGGUGGAAUUCCACGUGUAGCGGUGAAAUGCGUAGAGAUGUGGAGGAACACCGAUGGCGAAGGCAGCCUUCUGGGCCAACACUGACGCUCAUGCACGAAAGCGUGGGGAGCAAACAGGAUUAGAUACCCUGGUAGUCCACGCCCUAAACGAUGAUGACUAGUUGUUGGGGGAGUUAAAUCCCUUAGUAACGCAGCUAACGCGUGAAGUCAUCCGCCUGGGGAGUACGGUCGCAAGAUUAAAACUCAAAGGAAUUGACGG